This is a small nucleolar RNA of Kluyveromyces lactis, 116 nucleotides long. The record is from RefSeq and is a predicted model, not a curated record. Lineage: Eukaryota; Fungi; Ascomycota; Saccharomycetes; Saccharomycetales; Saccharomycetaceae.
UCAUACUUAAUGAUGACUCCGAGUGCAUUUGGCUCGAGACUUAGACCCUUGGCGGGGACUUUGUCGGUGUGGAAAGACUCAAGCUACCUAACUUAUUUUUGUCUGAAUAUGUGAGA